GAUCAUGGUUCAGGAUGAACGCUAGCUACAGGCUUAACACAUGCAAGUCGAGGGGCAGCAUGGUCUUAGCUUGCUAAGGCCGAUGGCGACCGGCGCACGGGUGAGUAACACGUAUCCAACCUGCCAUCUACUCUUGGACAGCCUUCUGAAAGGAAGAUUAAUACAAGAUGGCAUCAUGAGUCCGCACGUUCACAUGAUUAAAGGUAUUCCGGUAGACGAUGGGG
This 224-nucleotide ribosomal RNA is filed under the name uncultured bacterium. RNAcentral describes it as "partial 16S ribosomal RNA". It matches the Rfam family "Bacterial small subunit ribosomal RNA", at positions 15 to 230 of the family's 1533-position model. The record is from RNAcentral.